UAGGGAAUCUUCCACAAUGGGCGCAAGCCUGAUGGAGCAACACCGCGUGAGUGAAGAAGGGUUUCGGCUCGUAAAGCUCUGUUGUUAAAGAAGAACACGUAUGAGAGUAACUGUUCAUACGUUGACGGUAUUUAACCAGAAAGUCAUGGCUAACUACGUGCCAG
This 164-nucleotide ribosomal RNA is filed under the name uncultured bacterium. RNAcentral's name for it is "partial 16S rRNA". It matches the Rfam family "Bacterial small subunit ribosomal RNA", at positions 355 to 511 of the family's 1533-position model. The record is from RNAcentral.